Long non-coding RNA from Struthio camelus australis, 881 nucleotides. RefSeq lists it as uncharacterized. NCBI's taxonomy places the organism in Eukaryota, Metazoa, Chordata, Aves, Struthioniformes, Struthionidae. The record is from RefSeq and is a predicted model, not a curated record.
UGUACCUGAUCCUGGUCGCUGUCUCUGCGCCCGAUCCUGACCUGAACUUGUGGGUCUGCGUCCUGGCUCCUUGCUGGUGAGGUCACCGUUGGUGCCUGCCCUGCUACUGGGCUCGGCUCCCGAUUCACCUUCUCUUGCGGAGCAGCCAGCCCUCGCUGCUGCCUGACAACUGUGGAGCACAAGUUAUCCAGGUGUUACCUGAGUCAAAAGGACAUAUCACAUGCUAAAGGCAGAAUCCUUCUGACAGCAUGAUCAUCACCGUCCUCUGAGUGCUGCAGAGUAGCUAUGCCAUGCAUUAAAUAGAUGAUUGGAUCUUUCUAAUGCCAAUGCAUCUUUAUGGGUAUCUAAAUGAAAUGCAAGACUCCCACCUCCUGAGUGAGUGCACAGUCUCUGGACUAUAAAGUCUUGUAGCUGCUUAUAUUCUGACCCUUGCAUUUAAUAGCUGCAAUGUGAAAGUGUAAACACCACCAGCUACUAAAGCUAACCUGCCAUCUAACAUGGAGGUGCUUCUCUAGGAGGUGAGAGAAGUGAUCUCGACUCCCUAAAGCUUCUAAGUAUGCAGAACCUUCUGCUUUUUGGGAAAAUGAUCCUUUGUACCUACUCAGGAGAGAAGGGAUGUAUUUCUCAUCAGAUGUGAAGAAUGCGAUGCUGGAGAGUUGUGGUGUUCACACAGAGCUCUGGAUUCUUUCCAGAAGGUGCAGUCUAAAGGUUACAUGUUGCAAUACACACUGGAUAACUCUCUGAAUUCCCUCAGUGGCAGGACUGGGACUAGAAUCCAGGAUUUCUCCCUUUUUGCUAGUAAAUGAUAUCUUCUAUAAUUUGAGGAGAAGGAACUGAAAUGGGAGACUAGAGAGCUCAUUUGUUACCAAUGGCAACUCAAG